UCCAACGGUAUUGCCUACUGAACGCGC
RNAcentral lists this small RNA (27 nucleotides) under Bombyx mori (domestic silkworm). RNAcentral's name for it is "piRNA piR-bmo-1813421". Lineage: Eukaryota; Metazoa; Arthropoda; Insecta; Lepidoptera; Bombycidae. The record is from RNAcentral.